Molecule: long non-coding RNA, 1269 nt
Organism: Oncorhynchus tshawytscha (Chinook salmon)
Lineage: Eukaryota; Metazoa; Chordata; Actinopteri; Salmoniformes; Salmonidae
Source: Ensembl
GGGUCAUAUUUUUGUAACGGUCCCAUGCAGCAUGCAGCCAUUCCUCUGGGUUACCUUGCUGUCUGAAGUGCUCGUCCAGACCAUGUGCUUGUUUGUCAUAAUCACUCUGUACUACGGAUCCUGUGUAUGGGACUGUACAGGCUUGCGAAAGUAUUCACCCCCCUUGGCAUUUUUCCUAUUUUGUUGCCUUACAACCUGGAAUUAAAAUAUAUAUUUUUUUUUGGGGGUGUGUAUCAUUUGAUUUACACAACAUGCCUACCAUUUUGAAGAUGCAAAAUAUUUGUUAUUGUGAAACAAAGCAGAAAUAAGACACACAAACUAUUUAGCGUGCAUAACAAGACACACCCCCCAAAGUCAAUACUUUGUAGAGCUACCUUUUGCAGCAAUUACAGCUGCAAGUCUCUUGGGGUGUCUCUUAGCUUGGCACAUCUAGCUACUGGGAUUUUUGCCCAUUCUGCAAGGCAUAACCUUUUUUAUUUCACUUCAACAAUUUUGACUUUUUGUAUAUGUCCAUUAUGUAAUUUUAAAAAAUCCACUUAAAUUACAGGUUGUAAUGCAACAAAAUGGGAAAAAUGCCAAGGGGGAUGAACACUUUUACAAGGCACUGUAUUGGCUGAUAGGGGGGCUCAUAAGGGUGUAAGCUAUCUCUGUGUAACAGGGAAUUCCUGUUCCGCCGGCUCCCUAUAGGUCGGUGCUAAAGCCAACUCCCUCUAUCAAAAUGUCUUGCCCUAGAGAUCUAGCAUUUACAGAAUUACUCAUUGGCCCAAGGGAGGCACUACAGUAAUCAACUAUAUGUACAUUAGUCACAUGCGAUAUCUCAGACAACUGCACUGCAUCAUUUGUGGAGGAUGACAUGUUCAUUGUUGCCUUGUUUAACACCUGAUUUACUUAACAAAAAGCACAUCUCAAUAGGUGGUUCAGGUAAAUCAUGAUAUCGCUAAAGGGGGACUUUCCUAUUUUUCUCUAUUGCGCCUCUACUUUUCCUCAAGCAAGGGAGAGGCUGACUUUGUUUUUACCCUUUAGUGUGUGUACUUUGGGAUAUCGCUUUAAACAGUAAAAAAAAUGUUUUUGCCAAAGGACAUCUUUCAUACUCAAUGUUCCAGGUACAACAGUGUUUGUCAGUCUCUGAUUCAUCUACAACAAAUAAUGGUUUUAACUGAAAAGCACUAAUGUCCAAGUGAAAUAAAUACUUACCCAGCGAACAGGAGGGAGCAAUGUUCUCUGCAUGUAUUUGUAAGGACAACAUACUUGAAUCAUUUAAGACUUGAG